Molecule: long non-coding RNA, 977 nt
Filed under: Danio rerio (zebrafish)
Lineage: Eukaryota; Metazoa; Chordata; Actinopteri; Cypriniformes; Danionidae
Description: lncRNA si:ch211-194c21.1 (ENSDARG00000092109.3)
Source: RNAcentral
AUAAAGCGUGCAUAAGAUAUACUCACGAGACUUCAGUUGUGCGCAUUUAUGUCGCUGAAAAUCGUUUUUACUCGACGGUCGUCAAGAAACCACGCGACAUUCCAAGGACAACUAAGCUCAAAACCUAUCAUAAAAUGGUGAAGGCUACUACACAUGGACAUCACUGAACUGCGUUCUUGGCCCUGGUGAUUUUUCUGUACACUGAAAAAGGUGUAGGAAUGUAUGAGCAUUCUUCAGAGCAUCAUCUAAAUGUGUACCACAAUACAAAGGAAUUCAAAUCCGUUAGAGCGACAUAACCGCGGCAGUACUUUGACUGACAUGAUGUGCCUCCAAUGCGCCACUGCUCUGAUACUCACUUUAGCUCUGUGUGAUAGUAAUAGGAUUCCAUGACCCCAGACUGCAGUCUGAGCAUCUUUGUCUUCUAUACAAGUGAAUCAGCAUGAGAAGUCGAGAGACACCAGACCAUUGAUCUCAUUCAGAAGAGAGAAGGAGAGAUGCAACCGUCACGACCUUCAUUUGUUAGUCUGUGUUUAAAUGUGGAAGAGCUGCUGUCAGAAUAAUGUGCUUGACCACCCAGCAUGCCUUCCUCUCGCUCUUCCUUUAAAUGUCUCUCUGGAGCACGUACACAAACACACACACGUGAUGCAUCAUCAACGAGCGUGAGUGAUCUAUCUUAAAAGUAAAUAAGCACAGCACUUCCGUCACCUUAGGCUGAGAGAAGACAGCGCAGAGGUCAGAAGUAACUGUCAUAAAUUUUGUCUCUCAAAGUGUGUAUGUGUGUGUGAUUUGAUAGUCCCACAGCUGCAGGGCAGUAAUCCCAUAGCCAGUCUCAGAGGAAAAGCUUUAAAAUGCCACCCGGAUAGUGUUCAAUCAAACUCACUCACAUACACCCACAAUCCACCACUUGCCUGAUGACUCAAUGAUACUUAAAGAAGAUGCAAUAGUAAUUUACCAAUAAAGAAGCCUUUAAUCUGUAC